AGGCGUGUGGCGAAAAGGUUAACGCACUGGACUUUGACUCCAGCAUUCGAGGGUUCGAAUCCCUCCACGUCUG
RNAcentral lists this transfer RNA (73 nucleotides) under Pseudomonas phage vB_PaeM_PAO1_Ab03. It matches the Rfam family "tRNA". Rfam says of the family: Transfer RNA (tRNA) molecules are approximately 80 nucleotides in length. Their secondary structure includes four short double-helical elements and three loops (D, anti-codon, and T loops). Further hydrogen bonds mediate the characteristic L-shaped molecular structure. tRNAs have two regions of fundamental functional importance: the anti-codon, which is responsible for specific mRNA codon recognition, and the 3' end, to which the tRNAs corresponding amino acid is attached (by aminoacyl-tRNA synthetases). tRNAs cope with the degeneracy of the genetic code in two manners: having more than one tRNA (with a specific anti-codon) for a particular amino acid; and 'wobble' base-pairing, i.e. permitting non-standard base-pairing at the 3rd anti-codon position. RNAcentral also lists the same sequence under 1 other name. Lineage: Duplodnaviria; Heunggongvirae; Uroviricota; Caudoviricetes; Vandenendeviridae. The record is from Rfam by way of RNAcentral.